GGACUUUUGAUUUAUCAUGAACCCACAGCUCUGUGGUGCUGGGAAUGACAGUGCAUGUAACUGGCAAUUAAAAUCUUCUGAAAAAGGAGAGAUAAAACAUACUCUUCAUACUGUCACUGAGAACUGGAAAAACAGCCUGGAAGAAGCAGCGAUGCUUAUGAUGACCAUGCUCCUUUCCUUUUUGCCUGGUAUUGAAAGUGGGAAGAGAGCUGGCUUAGAUGUGAUGCUUUCUAAAUGAAGAGUUUAUGGAAUUAAAGAAAGCUGGGAGAAGAGAUACAUAUUGAAAAGCAGAACAGAAAAUAAGUGACAAUGAUAACUGUGGAACUAUAAUCUGCUGCUCCUAUUUACUUUACCUAAUCUUAAAGCCAAUAGCUGUUGUCUGUGUGAUACCUCAUACUUUUAGAAUGCUAUUGCAGGAAGUUAGUGGUGAUCUCUCACAUUAGAAAAGGAAUUGAUGAAAAAAGUGCAAGACUCUUUCUGAAGAGCAGUCCUGACUGUGCUCCCUUCCAGCUUCUUUUGCACUAACUUGCUGGCAGAGCUUGGGAAACUGAAAAUCACUGACUUAAGGUAAGCCCUACUUAGCAACAAACAAAACAUCAGUGUGCUGUCAUUAUGAUUUUCAUACCAAAUCCAAAGCACAGCACUGUACCAGUGCAUAAGAAGAAAAUUGACUCUAUUCCAGCCAAAACUGGAAAGAAUUGUUGGUUGAUUAGACAGUUCCUUGCUUCACAAUGGUGUUUGGAGAUUUCUGAGAGGUGUGACACGUAAGGAUAACAAAGGCUAGAACAAAUGGAAUCUGAAACCACUUUAUAUAUAUGUAUGCUGAAGUAGAAACAACCUUGCCUGUAUUGAUAUAUUUACCCCCUCUUCAUACACUUGAUGUGUCACUUGGAAACAAAAAGAAAUCCUGCAGGUCAUUCCUCUGAAUCUCAGCUGCUCAGCCUGCAGAAGCUGCACUGCAUCAAUGAUCCUGAGGGAGAUGUAUGUAGAUAAAAUUUGAAAGUUACAAUAAACUAAUUUGGUGUUG
This 1027-nucleotide long non-coding RNA is filed under the name Cyanistes caeruleus (blue tit). RNAcentral's name for it is "lncRNA (ENSCCEG00000012768.1)". The record is from RNAcentral. Lineage: Eukaryota; Metazoa; Chordata; Aves; Passeriformes; Paridae.